Mus caroli (Ryukyu mouse) is the source of this 665-nucleotide non-coding RNA. NCBI's taxonomy places the organism in Eukaryota, Metazoa, Chordata, Mammalia, Rodentia, Muridae. The record is from RefSeq and is a predicted model, not a curated record.
CCUCCUACCUGUUGGUUGGCUGUGAAUGCAGACCCUAGAGAUGAAGGCUCUGCUCCUGACCAUUAGCUUCUGUCUGGUUGCUGUCCUGCAGUCCCAGGACUCUUCAUUCCUUGCUUUCAAUAAUGAGAAUUUUUCCGGAAAGUGGUUCCUGAAGGCCUUGGUGUCAGAAGACAACAUCCCAAUAAGCAAGGUUUCUCCCAUGUUAAUCUUGGUGCUGAACAAUGGGGACAUGGAGCUUUCUAUCACACAUAUGCUCUAUGAUCAGUGUUUUAAAGUGACCACCAUCUUGGAGAAAACAGAUGUGCCUGGCCAGUACCUUGCCUUUGAGGGUCAGACCCACCUGCAGGUGCAGCUGUCUUCUGUGAAGGGCCACUACAUGUUCUACUGUGAUGGGGAGAUAGAGGGGAUGAGAUUCUCGAUGACACAGCUCAUAGGGACCCCCAGGAAAAUUUGGAGGCCUUGGAGGAAUUUAAGGCGUUCACACGGCUAAAGGGACUUGUAGCAGAGAACCUGGUCAUCCUUGAGCAGAUGGAAAAAUGUGAACCAGGGAGUUUCUAAGAGCUCCCAAGCCGCCCAAGGGAGUGAGUGCCGCCAGCAUGUCUGUCCCGUGGGAGAUGGAAAGAGUGGCCUGCUGGAUCCUCCAACUCCCCUUCUCUCUUCCCUCA